GACGAACGCUGGCGGUGUGCUUAACACAUGCAAGUCGAACGGAAAGGCCCUGCUUUUGUGGGGUGCUCGAGUGGCGAACGGGUGAGUAACACGUGAGUAACCUGCCCUUGACUUUGGGAUAACUUCAGGAAACUGGGGCUAAUACCGGAUAGGAGCUCCUGCUGCAUGGUGGGGGUUGGAAAGUUUCGGCGGUUGGGGAUGGACUCGCGGCUUAUCAGCUUGUUGGUGGGGUAGUGGCUUACCAAGGCUUUGACGGGUAGCCGGCCUGAGAGGGUGACCGGCCACAUUGGGACUGAGAUACGGCCCAGGCUCCUACGGGAGGCAGCAGUGGGGAAUAUUGCACAAUGGGCGGAAGCCUGAUGCAGCAACGCCGCGUGCGGGAUGACGGCCUUCGGGUUGUAAACCGCUUUCGCCUGUGACGAAGCGUGAGUGACGGUAAUGGGUAAAGAAGCACCGGCUAACUACGUG
RNAcentral lists this ribosomal RNA (468 nucleotides) under uncultured bacterium. RNAcentral describes it as "partial 16S ribosomal RNA". It matches the Rfam family "Bacterial small subunit ribosomal RNA", at positions 28 to 507 of the family's 1533-position model. The record is from RNAcentral.